Molecule: long non-coding RNA, 439 nt
Filed under: Mytilus galloprovincialis (Mediterranean mussel)
Lineage: Eukaryota; Metazoa; Mollusca; Bivalvia; Mytilida; Mytilidae
Source: RNAcentral
UUUUUAUAUAUAUGAAUAAGGUCGUUAGUUUUUUCGUUCGUUUCGUUUCACAUUGUCAUAUCAGGGCCUUUUCAGACUUUCCAGACAUUUAAAUGCUUUUACUACUUUUUCUUUCAUUUUAUUUUUAUUUUUCCAAUGCUUUUACUUCCUUUUUCUUUCAAUUAGUUUUAUUUUUUAGAAAUUCCAUGGUUCUAAAAUACUUAAAAUUAUUACUUCAUGCAUGUUUUCAAACAAAAAAGUCUCAUUUUUUACAUAUAAAUAAUGAUUUUUAUUUAAUUUCCACAGGUAAAUUUACCUUUGACCAAAUUAGACACUAAUGACUAAAACAACAUAGUUUGCAAUAAAAACAUGUAUUGUUCUUCUACUAAUCCCCCAUGUAGGAAUAGCCAGAAUAGUAAAAUACAAAAUGUAGGAAUAGCCAGAAGACACCUUUUUUUUU